GUUUUCGGCUUUUUUGUGGGUCAAAUUGUCCAUUCUCUGCCCGAUCGGACCGAUGGUAAAGUUCUUGGCGCUCCUCGCUUGUCAGAUAAACUUCACUUGCGCUAGAGCACUCAAACACUUCCAGAGUCGUCAUUUUAUGAAUCGUGUUGUUGUGUAUCUUUCGCGAUGAUGUGCUUGCGUAUCAGAUGUUUCUGUAAGAGAGAACAUUUUUGUAGGUCUUCGCACAAGAUCUAUACCACACAGGACAUGAAAGUUGGACUCGUUAGACCACUUGCACAUUACAUGACAUGUAUCAAAUUUUCUUGAUCGUGAUUGGUGGAUCUUACAUCGGCAAUGCCAGGAAUGUUUUUGGACUAUGACCUGGUAUAGAGUAUCACUAUUUCCUGCAACAGUGUCCUGAAGCUUGGAGAUGGAAAGUGCUUGUCUCGGGGUUUUGAAGUUAAAAACCAGCCUAAAACCYAUUGAAUUCUUAUUUCAAAAGUAACUUUUGUGAUAAUGGAUGACUUACUUUCAAAGGAUUCAAUAUAUUGUGCAGGUUAUGGGUGCUGAAUUGUAUGAUGCUUUGGUUUCUGCCGGAGUAAAGCACGAGGCUCGCACCUCACCAAGCUUGUUGACGAUGAGGUAAAUUCGAAACGAAACUGUCUUCCAAGAUUUGUAUUCCUUCAAGAAAUACUGAUAUAUACGGUAGAAAAAUAUAUACCACACAGCUGGAACAUUGAAAAAAGGGACCGAUGGUUAAAGAAUGAAAAGAUUUAACAGGAUUGUUAAUGAGCAUGUUUGUCGAUGGCGCUCGAUGGCGCCAAACAUGCUCAUUAACGAUAUAGACAGAAAUUUGAAUUCRAAUUUUUKUUGAAACUUGUAUUGGCGGUUGUAAUGACCUUCGAUCCCGGCAUUAACUCAAAGUAUCACACCACACAGAUGGGUUUGAGUUGRUAGCUAUACAACAGUGAAAUAAUUUUGGUUUUGCACAAAUCUGUGAAGACAUAAAACGAUUUUUAUCUGAGCACGUAUUAUUAAAUACAAGCUUCAAAACAAACUCGAAAUCAGAUUCUAAAUAAUUAACUGAAUCUUCUAGCCUUGAUAGGAACGUUAGCUGGUUUGACUGUAACUGAAAAAUGAAGAAGUAUGAGUAGAGAUUAUGUCAUGCAGUGAACGCAGGCGACAUAAAAUGUUGUUAUUAAAUAUACUUAUCAAUUCGGCAUUUAUAUGUAAUAAAUAUUUUUUAAACCAAA
Actinia tenebrosa (Australian red waratah sea anemone) is the source of this 1232-nucleotide long non-coding RNA. RefSeq lists it as uncharacterized. Lineage: Eukaryota; Metazoa; Cnidaria; Anthozoa; Actiniaria; Actiniidae. The record is from RefSeq and is a predicted model, not a curated record.